Non-coding RNA from Gossypium raimondii (Peruvian cotton), 145 nucleotides. The record is from Rfam. NCBI's taxonomy places the organism in Eukaryota, Viridiplantae, Streptophyta, Magnoliopsida, Malvales, Malvaceae.
UUUUAAAAAUUUCAUCUAUUUGUACCGUAAGAAAUUGGCGUGACUAAUGGAAUAAUUAGAUAGUGGCAUAUGGCACACCAUGCGUAUCUUAUAUUGAUAUACAAGAACUAACUUUUGAUAGUAGAAAUAGACGAAAUUUUUAAUG